CACCAAGGAAGGGGAAGAACACAUGCAAACUCAUAAACCCUCACCACAAAUUCAAAUUCACAUAACUUUUGAUCCAGAGCUCCGAUCGCCACACUGUUUGCGGCCACGUGACUGCAAUGAUGAGCUCUACAAUGCCCAGUACCAUUCAAGAAUCAAAUUGAGUUGAGGAAUGAGUGGGCUUUGGUUUGAUUGAGACACAUACAAGGUGUAUACGUGUAUAUGUUGGAGGCUUGGUGGUGAUUGGAGCUAAGAUUUUAGUGGGUUUCUCUAAACUUGAGGGGCUGUGUGGUGACUUGGGGGGCUGCCUUGGACUAAAUAUCGUAAUCGGCC
Arachis stenosperma is the source of this 330-nucleotide long non-coding RNA. RefSeq lists it as uncharacterized. The record is from RefSeq and is a predicted model, not a curated record. The transcript has 3 exons. Lineage: Eukaryota; Viridiplantae; Streptophyta; Magnoliopsida; Fabales; Fabaceae.